AGUGCUUGCCUAAAUGAAACUAGAUACAAGCGAGCGGCGGACGGGUGAGUAACACGUGGGUAACCUGCCCAAGAGACUGGGAUAACACCUGGAAACAGAUGCUAAUACCGGAUAACAACACUAGACGCAUGUCUAGAGUUUGAAAGAUGGUUCUGCUAUCACUCUUGGAUGGACCUGCGGUGCAUUAGCUAGUUGGUAAGGUAACGGCUUACCAAGGCAAUGAUGCAUAGCCGAGUUGAGAGACUGAUCGGCCACAUUGGGACUGAGACACGGCCCAAACUCCUACGGGAGGCAGCAGUAGGGAAUCUUCCACAAUGGACGAAAGUCUGAUGGAGCAACGCCGCGUGAGUGAAGAAGGGUUUCGGCUCGUAAAGCUCUGUUGGUAGUGAAGAAAGAUAGAGGUAGUAACUGGCCUUUAUUUGACGGUAAUUACUUAGAAAGUCACGGCUAACUACGUGCCAGCAGCCGCGGUAAUACGUAGGUGGCAAGCGUUGUCCGGAUUUAUUGGGCGUAAAGCGAGUGCAGGCGGUUCAAUAAGUCUGAUGUGAAAGCCUUCGGCUCAACCGGAGAAUUGCAUCAGAAACUGUUGAACUUGAGUGCAGAAGAGGAGAGUGGAACUCCAUGUGUAGCGGUGGAAUGCGUAGAUAUAUGGAAGAACACCAGUGGCGAAGGCGGCUCUCUGGUCUGCAACUGACGCUGAGGCUCGAAAGCAUGGGUAGCGAACAGGAUUAGAUACCCUGGUAGUCCAUGCCGUAAACGAUGAGUGCUAAGUGUUGGGAGGUUUCCGCCUCUCAGUGCUGCAGCUACGCAUUAAGCACUCCGCCUGGGGAGU
This 832-nucleotide ribosomal RNA is filed under the name uncultured bacterium. RNAcentral's name for it is "bacterial SSU rRNA". It matches the Rfam family "Bacterial small subunit ribosomal RNA", at positions 65 to 881 of the family's 1533-position model. The record is from RNAcentral.